UACGUAGGGGGCUAGCGUUGUCCGGAUUUAUUGGGCGUAAAGAGCGUGUAGGCGGCCAGGUAGGUCUGCUGUGAAAACUCGAGGCUCAACCUCGAGACGUCGGCGGAAACCAUCUGACUAGAGUCCGGAAGAGGAGAGUGGAAUUCCUGGUGUAGCGGUGAAAUGCGCAGAUAUCAGGAAGAACACCCGUGGCGAAGGCGGCUCUCUGGGACGGUACUGACGCUGAGACGCGAAAGCGUGGGGAGCGAACAGG
This 253-nucleotide ribosomal RNA is filed under the name uncultured bacterium. RNAcentral describes it as "partial 16S ribosomal RNA". It matches the Rfam family "Bacterial small subunit ribosomal RNA", at positions 524 to 776 of the family's 1533-position model. The record is from RNAcentral.